AAGCAGCAGUCGCACCACUUCAGUCUUGCCAUAGAGGGAAGCCUCGUGCAGAGACGUCCCCGCUUUGGUGGCUCUGUUUAUGUCGAUACCGGCUUUGAGCAGCAACCUGGGUAAUCAAAGCAGAAAACGCUCAUAGGCCCAGAUAAGGGAACGCUGACAGCGUCGCAUCCAGAGAGCGGUGCAGCAGGAGGAGGUCCUCAGCCUCGCAACGCUGGAGCUCUGCUCCUAUUUCCAUUCAGCUGUCAAACAAGUUAGGUUUAGACAAAACAAAACAGAAUUCUAAUCAUCAUCAUCAUCAUCAUCAAUUACAGGCUGAACAACUACAACAAGGAGCAUGACGAUAACAGUGUGACUUCUGUAAAUGAUUGACGUCGCCUCAAAGACAGUUCCAUUAUUGUGGAGUAAGGGUGUUUUCACACCUGUAGUUUGUUUACUCUGGUCAGGAUCAGGGACCAAAUUGUUCCAAUGUUGCAUAUUCCCUCGAGUUUGGUUUGUGUUUACACGGCAGCGUUUACUAAGCAAAGAAACUGCUCUCUAAUUGGUCAGAAUUUCCAUAAUGGAAAACUCUUGGAAGUAAACAAAGAAGAGCAGACUUCCAGAACGCAACAAUGGAUGGACAACUACGCAACAAUGGAGGGACAACUACACGGCUUGAUCUUGGCCCUGGCCAUCUUUUUUUUUACCUCGUAGCAAUUUUUCACUCAAGGCAAACGAUACAGUUUGAAAAUGAGGCGCGGCUGCGACUGGAAAACAAUGUAUUGAUGCACUUGAGUCGCCGAAGGCGCAUAUCAAGAGGUACGGAGGACGGAGGAGGAGGUGUGCAUCAACUCUCCUAAACUGUGACAUGCUAAUCGGCCGAAAAUAUUUCCGAAGAUCCAUCAGGUAUGCCCGUGGUCUUCAACACAGCCUGACGUUACACCUGUUUAGUACUGAUGGCAAGCGUAGGCUCUUUUGUAGUAAUGUUGUCUGGUGUCUAGUGUUGACAUGCACAGCGCAGCUCGCUACCGCAGCUGGUUUAAUCCAAAAAGGUGCAAUGCUGUCUCCAGUUGGGCCGGAUAGAAGUCACAAAAAAGUAUUUUUCCUAACAGCGGCCCCAUUUCUCUGUUACAAGACUGAAAGAUUCCUUCGACUACAACAGAAAUAUGUUUACAUUUGCAAAAAUGAAACAAGUGCAAAGAUGUUAACUCAGCCUUUUGUUUGAUCUGCCUGUGUCUGUAAAAAGCAAAACGGUGACUUGUGAAAUGUGAAUGCUGCUGACAAACUAAUUUGACUUAACAGGAUCCCGCUAAGUGGGACACCCAUAGAAAUAGACACCACAGGGGGUUGGACAGACAGGAGAAAUAUCAAACCAUGAAGUAUGAUGAAAAACGGAGCCUGAAGGGAACCUAUUGUAGCAUGCACCUUCUUUCUUUACUCAGCAGCAACAGUUUUAAUCUUGCUAUGACACCUUGAGAAGGCGGAAUGUAUGUCAUAAAGCGUAGACUUCUCCAUCUCUGUCAUGCAGAUAAGCAGCUGAUUUACUCUUAUACUCUAUCUGCAAUGCAUGUAUACAUGAAGUAUAGAACAGUGAUUCCCAAAGUGGGGUCCAGGGACCCCAGGGGUCCAUGUCAGGGGGCCCACGAAAUAAUUUGCUAUAAAUUAUAAAACUGUGCUGUAUCAUUAAAAAGUACAUAUCUCCAGAUGAGGACCA
This is a long non-coding RNA of Sebastes umbrosus (honeycomb rockfish), 1690 nucleotides long. RefSeq lists it as uncharacterized. The record is from RefSeq and is a predicted model, not a curated record. NCBI's taxonomy places the organism in Eukaryota, Metazoa, Chordata, Actinopteri, Perciformes, Sebastidae. The transcript has 3 exons.